This 1718-nucleotide long non-coding RNA is filed under the name Bos indicus x Bos taurus (hybrid cattle). RNAcentral's name for it is "lncRNA (ENSBIXG00005009719.1)". Lineage: Eukaryota; Metazoa; Chordata; Mammalia; Artiodactyla; Bovidae. The record is from RNAcentral.
GGUCGUUCAGCCGUAUGCAACUCUUUGCGACCCCGUGGACUACACAGUCCAUAGAAUUCUCCAGGCCAGAAUACUGGAGUGGGUAGCCAUUCCCUUCUCCAGAGGAUCUUCCCAACCCAGGGAUCGAACCCAGGUUUCUCACAUUGCAGGCGGAUUCUUUACCAGCUGAGCUGCCACGUAAGCCCAAGAAUACUGGAGUGGGUAGCCUAUCCCUUCUCCAGCGGAUCUUUCUGACCCAGGAAUCAAACAGGGAACUCCUGCACUGCAGGCAGAUUCUUUACCAGCUGAGCUGCCAGGGAAGCCGGUAGAACCAGACCUACCCAUAAACUAAAUCCUAAGUCAGAGCCAUGGGUGGGAAGAAUUGCAGGUGGAAACCAGGCACAAUUCUCACCCUUCACAAUUACAGGCCAAAUGAGGGAUUGUACCUGAGAGAAAAACUGCUGUUGGAACUUGAAAAGAAAAUAGAUACAAAUUCUUCAGUUAGUUUCUAUUCUGAUUGCAAGGAAGAGGAUCCAUGUAUUUCUCAUCAAGCCCAAAAGACUACCUAGGGAAACAAAGUGUAUGCCACGAAGAUACUGCCGGUGAGAAACAGAAAGUGACAAUUUUCAAAGUCAUUUUAGACCAGACCCAUUUGCUUGUAUGGAUGUGUGUGUGUUUACAACAGCCAUGCUCCCCCCGGCAAAGUAAAAUACACUGGAAAUGGGGGAGUAUGGCGUAGGGUGGGGUGAAGAAGAACGUGGCAAUGUUUUCAGUUCCUGAAUAACAGUCCCCGACUCGCCAGUGAGACACUGGACCACAGGCAGGAUGAAUGUUUGGGUCUGGACAACUGACUCCGUUGGUUGAUUUUUGCUACCUUGGCCCAAACAAGCAUGUCCACUAUCUUUCUUCUUGCUCCUGAAUCUCAGCGUGAUCAAGUAUCAAGAGACAAGCAAGCAGCCAAAUGGAGCAAAGAGAAGAGCAAUCAUUGCAAAGAAUUCCUGUGGGGUUCACUGGGGUUUUCAGAAAGUAAGGGAUGCUCAUGGUUGUGAGUGGACGUCCGACUUACCUGCUGUAGGUGAAGGUGGUUCUUCCUACAGAACGCUCUCUCCAGAAAGACAUCCCCUCUCUGGGACGUGAGGUGGAGUAGAAGGACUAACCAUCUAAAAUUGUCAGCUAUGUCAUUUCUUUUCAGCAUUAACUCAUUUCAGCCUGAAAAUCUUGACAAUGCAAAUUUGUUCUCCAGCGGGGGAGAGAGAAUGGGAGAAAGAAACAAUAUUCCUGCCUUUAAUCUGGUGAGAAUAAUCAGGAAGGAUGGGUGAGAGGCACCACGCGUUCUGUGCUGUGCUUUUGAAAAGAGAACAAAACACCAUGUCCAGAGAUAAAUUGUCAUCGUCUGAAGCUCCAGUUUUCUUACAAAUUCUUAAGGAAAUGUUGCCCCCUUCUGGACAAAAGGUACAAUAGACAGCCGCCACAGCCUUGCCAUCCAACCUGUUUAUAAACUCAUCUACCUGCGUUAGUCAGGAAGGGUUUUGCUCUGCUGUCUUUUCUGUCACUAUGCCUAGACAACACUAAUUCACUUUUAAAAAGUCACUAUACCAGCACGAAUCAUAUGCAUAAGAGAUCAGAAAGCCCAUUUUACCAAUUAGACAGAUUCUUCAAAACAGGAAUAAUCAAUCACGCUGACGAAGUUUACCAGAUUUUUUCAAUCUCACUCACAGCCUCCUUACCUUCUAUAGGAC